ACCCAAGUGGCCGAAAAGACAAUCGAGCCCUCACCACCGUCGCCAUGCUCUCUGCUGUCUCGUCUUCCCUCGUUAUCUUCCACAAGCCCUUCACUCGCGCUCUUCGACUGCCCCUCCCCAAACUCCCUCUCACCCCAAACCCUAGACCCCUCUCUUUACUCUCCCCGGCCGCUUCUUCUCUCACCCCCAAUGCCACCGGAGGCGGUCGCCUCGGGGCUCUAUCUCCGGCGCCGGCCACCGAUGACCUCCAGAAGAUCGACGUUAACCCUCCCAAGGGCACCAGGGACUUCCCGCCCGAAGAUAUGCGCCUCCGCAACUGGCUCUUCUACAAUUUCAGAGAGGUCUCGCGGCUGUUCGGCUUCGAAGAGGUCGACUUUCCGGUUCUUGAGACGGAGGCGCUGUUUAUCAGAAAAGCAGGGGAGGAGAUUCGUGACCAGCUGUAUUGCUUCGAAGAUCGAGGCAAUCGUCGCGUCGCGUUGAGGCCGGAGCUCACUCCUUCUUUGGCCAGGCUGGUGAUACAGAAAGGAAAAUCUCUGUCCCUGCCAUUGAAAUGGUUUGCCGUUGGGCAGUGUUGGCGGUACGAGAGGAUGACAAGGGGGCGGCGUCGGGAGCAUUACCAGUGGAAUAUGGAUAUUAUUGGUGUACCUGAGGUUACGGCUGAAGCAGAACUUAUUUCUUCAAUUGUCACUUUCUUCAAGCGAUUAGGAAUUACGGCAUCAGAUGUUGGAUUUAAGGUUUCAAGUCGUAAGGUUUUACAAGAAGUACUGAGGCGCUAUUCCAUACCCGAAUCUUUAUUUGGCAAAGUUUGCAUCAUCAUAGACAAGAUAGAGAAGAUUCCAGUGGAUGAUAUAAAAAAUGAGUUGAAAUCUGCUGGUGUAUCAGAAGAGGCUAUUGAACAGUUAUUGCAAAUUCUUUCCAUAAAGUCAUUGACAAAGCUGGAAGAGGUUCUUGGAGAUGCUCAGGAAGCAGUUGCUGAUUUGAAACAGCUAUUCUCUCUUGCUGACAAAUUUGGUUAUUCUGAAUGGAUCCAGUUUGAUGCUUCUAUUGUUCGUGGCCUUGCCUACUACACUGGUAUUGUUUUCGAGGGUUUUGAUAGAGGAGGAAAGUUACGGGCCAUUUGUGGUGGUGGGCGAUAUGACCGCUUGCUUUCUACUUUUGGUGGUGAUGACAUUCCUGCUUGUGGAUUUGGAUUUGGUGAUGCCGUCAUAGUGGAAUUGCUUAAGGAGAAGGGCCUUCUGCCGGAACUCAGCCUGCAAGUAGAGAACAUUGUGUGUGCUCUUGAUCCUGGACUUAAAGAAGCAGCUGCAACAGUUGCCACCAUACUCAGGGGGAAAGGUCAAAGUGUUGAUUUAGUCUUGGAGAACAAACCGCUUAAAUGGGUAUUCAAGCGUGCAGCACGGAUAAAUGCUAAUAGGUUGAUAUUGGUGGGAGAAUCAGAGUGGCAGAGGGGUAUGGUGAGUGUGAAAGUCCUUUCUUCUGGUGAACAACAUGAGAUCAAACUUGAUGAACUAGAGUGAUAAGAAGUUUGGUUAUUUGGAGGUUGUAUGGUUUACUUUUAUCUUUGUAGAUUGUGUUUAGAAUGGUAAUGGUUGCUCGGAGUAGAAGAAGAAUGCGACCCAGUGUGUCUUCCUGAUGAAGAAGAACGUGCAGAUGACUUGAAGUCUUCCAGAUAAUGCUCUGCCGAAUCGUCUAGGUACUGUGAUCUUUCCUUUCAGAAAGUCGAUUUUCUAUAUUCAGUCAUUUCUUUUUAAUUCAGACUGGUCUUUGUUAGCCGAUUUAGAGCAAUUUGAAAAUACUCAUACCCUAGAGAAUGACUUCUUUGGGUCAUUUGCCUGAAGAGAUUUGCUUGGAUAGGAUAGUGUGGGAGGAAGUUUUUUAUUUUUGGGUCUGGAUUGUAGGAGGAAUUUGUAAGUUCAGAUCCAGAAAAGAUUAUUUCAGGUGGCAAAAUUAUUAGGUCAGACCAUGUGCUCACUGCUAAGUUUCUCACAAAGACAAAUCUCCAAACCCAUAGGCUAGCACUGAGUGCAAGAUCCAAAUCUUCCACCGUGGUUCGGCCUUUGCAUCCCACAUUGUCAUUUAAGGGUUUUCUCCAUGCACCUGCUGUUGCAGUAUGUAAGGUCAACCAGUAAAUUAUGUUGUCCAAAGUAGUUGUUUCUUCAUCACUGCUGCAUCUUAUCUGUUAAGGAACACCGAAUAUAUUUGCAAUUUUAAAUCCUGGUUACGGUGGUAUUGCCAUUCAGAAUUUGGGUUUUACAUGAAUAAAUUUUAAGGUAGUAGAAGAGGAAACAUCGAGCAGUUAAGACGAGAAUUUGAAGUUACAGAGGGUGAGUAUGUUGCUGGUGACCAUAUGUAAAUACAGCAAUUGUUGUGCCCAAAUCAGACUGCUGGACACAAGUACAGUCAAAUAAAACAUUGUUUUCUGAGGUCUAGUAAAUGUUAUAACGUGCACCGAAAGUAGAUACAAACGUUAACUUCUGACAGAUUUUAUGUAUCGUUGGUUUCCUGUGAACGAUCCAUUGUUUAAAGUUGUCAUCGACACAUAGGAAAUAUAAAGUAUGAUCCCCUUGCA
Molecule: RNA transcript, 2569 nt
Organism: Pyrus x bretschneideri (Chinese white pear)
Lineage: Eukaryota; Viridiplantae; Streptophyta; Magnoliopsida; Rosales; Rosaceae
Gene name: histidine--tRNA ligase, chloroplastic/mitochondrial-like
Exons: 11
Source: RefSeq, a predicted model, not a curated record